CUGCGACGCCUCUUUGGGCGUUUCCUCCCUAGACUUCGGGCCGCCCUCGUGGCGGCCUUUUUUUGUCCGUUU
This 72-nucleotide small RNA is filed under the name Skermanella stibiiresistens SB22. Its description in RNAcentral is "Makes More Granules Regulator RNA (mmgR)". It matches the Rfam family "Makes More Granules Regulator RNA (mmgR)". From Rfam's summary of the family: SuhB later renamed mmgR (makes more granules regulator) was a putative non-coding RNA found multiple times in the Agrobacterium tumefaciens genome and related alpha-proteobacteria. Other non-coding RNAs uncovered in the same analysis include: speF, ybhL, metA, and serC. Several studies inSinorhizobium meliloti showed that suhB element is indeed a non-coding RNA:firstly it was detected on Northern blot and called Sm8RNA, secondly in an RNAseq study referred to as SmelC689. Lineage: Bacteria; Pseudomonadati; Pseudomonadota; Alphaproteobacteria; Rhodospirillales; Azospirillaceae. The record is from Rfam by way of RNAcentral.